AGCAGUCGCCUCAGAUGAGGAGGAAAGUCCGGACUCCCGAAGGGAAAGCGCUGGGUAACUCCCAGGAAGAUACCGCCAAAGCGGUCUCUUACGGAAAGUGCAACAGAAAAUAUACCGCCUGCAAAGUAGGUAAGGGUGAAAAGGCGAGGCAAGAGCUCACCGGAUAAGGAAUAAUCUUUAUGCUUUGUAAACCCCGCUUGGAGCAAGACGAAAUAGGGAAAUAGUGGUAUCCCCUUCUGCCGAUUAUUUCCGGGUGCGUCGCUUGAGGUUGUCGGAAACGGUAACCCUAGAUAAAUGACUGCUGCCGUAACAGGUACAGAAUCCGGCUUAUAGAAC
RNAcentral lists this RNase P RNA (336 nucleotides) under marine eukaryotic metagenome. RNAcentral describes it as "Bacterial RNase P class A". It matches the Rfam family "Bacterial RNase P class A". Rfam says of the family: Ribonuclease P (RNase P) is a ubiquitous endoribonuclease, found in archaea, bacteria and eukarya as well as chloroplasts and mitochondria. Its best characterised activity is the generation of mature 5'-ends of tRNAs by cleaving the 5'-leader elements of precursor-tRNAs. The record is from RNAcentral.